GAUGAAGAACGCAGCGAAAUGCGAUACGUAGUGUGAAUUGCAGAAUUCAGUGAAUCAUCGAAUCUUUGAACGCACAUUGCACCUCUCGGUAUUCCGGGAGGUAUGCCUGUUCGAGCGUCAUUUGUACCCUCAAGCUCUGCUUGGUGUUGGGUGUUUGUUCCGCCUCUGUGUGUGAACUCGCCUCAAAACAAUUGGCAGCCGGCAUACUUGUUUCGGAGCGCAGCACAUUUUGCGAUCCAGAUCAACGUACAGCGGCAUCCAAGAAGCCUUAUUUAACGCUCUUGACCUCGGAUCAGGUAGGGAUACCCGCUGAACUUAAGCAUAUCAAUAAGCGGAGGA
This 339-nucleotide unclassified non-coding RNA is filed under the name soil metagenome. RNAcentral's name for it is "partial contains 5.8S ribosomal RNA, internal transcribed spacer 2, and large subunit ribosomal RNA". The stretch from base 1 to 120 matches the Rfam family "5.8S ribosomal RNA", at positions 35 to 154 of the family's 154-position model. The record is from RNAcentral.